UAGGGAAUCUUCGGCAAUGGGGGCAACCCUGACCGAGCAACGCCGCGUGAGUGAAGAAGGUUUUCGGAUCGUAAAGCUCUGUUGUAAGAGAAGAACGUGUGUGGGAGUGGAAAGUUCACACAGUGACGGUAACUUACCAGAAAGGGACGGCUAACUACGUGCCAGCAGCCGCGGUAAUACGUAGGUCCCGAGCGUUGUCCGGAUUUAUUGGGCGUAAAGCGAGCGCAGGCGGUUUAAUAAGUCUGAGGUUAAAGGCCGUGGCUUAACCAUUGUUCGCUUUGGAAACUGUUAUACUUGAGUGCAGAAGGGGAGAGUGGAAUUCCAUGUGUAGCGGUGAAAUGCGUAGAUAUAUGGAGGAACACCGGUGGCGAAAGCGGCUCUCUGGUCUGUAACUGACGCUGAGGCUCGAAAGCGUGGGGAGCAAACAGG
Molecule: ribosomal RNA, 429 nt
Filed under: bacterium
Lineage: Bacteria
Description: partial 16S ribosomal RNA
Rfam family: Bacterial small subunit ribosomal RNA
Source: RNAcentral